CAUUUUGAAGAAGAGACCAAAAGAAAGAAGAUAAUUGCCCUUAAAUUAAUGGCUCAAGAAGAAGAAGAUUCAGAAAAAUCAGAAAACGUGAAGAUGAUGAAGAUUUGGCAUUGAUCAUAAAAAAAGUUAGAUAAUUUAUAAAGAAAAGAAGAUAAGGGAUCAAGAAAAGACCACCAGUUAAGGAGAAGCUGAGUAAAAAAGAACAACCCAUCAUUUGUUAUGAGUGUAAGAAGUUGGAUCACUUU
RNAcentral lists this long non-coding RNA (245 nucleotides) under Elaeis guineensis (African oil palm). RNAcentral's name for it is "long non-coding RNA (EGUI_LNC024138)". Lineage: Eukaryota; Viridiplantae; Streptophyta; Magnoliopsida; Arecales; Arecaceae. The record is from RNAcentral.